UAUCAUAAUCGUACUAUAUAUUUACUCGCACUACCAAUCUUCGAUUUCAAAGCCCUAAUAUUCAGUCCUCUCGCCUCUGCGCUUUGUCACCUACAGAUCGGAUUCGAGGGAAAAUGAGCAGCCGUGCCAGCAGAACAGUCUAUGUUGGCAAUCUCCCGGGUGAUAUACGUGAAAAAGAAGUGGAAGAUUUAUUUUACAAGUAUGGUCGCAUAGCCCACAUUGAUCUCAAGGUUCCACCAAGGCCUCCUGGUUAUGCAUUUGUUGAGUUCGAAGAUGCAGAAGAUGCUCAAGAUGCAAUUCGUGGUCGCGAUGGCUAUGAUUUUGAUGGCCAUAGGUUGCGCGUGGAACUUGCUCAUGGUGGUCGUGGUCAUUCAUCAUCUAGUGAUCGUUAUAGUAGUCAUGGAAGCAGCCGAGGUGGGCGUGGAGUAUCUCGACGUUCUGACUUUCGUGUAUUAGUCACAGGAUUACCUUCUUCUGCUUCGUGGCAAGACUUAAAGGAUCACAUGCGGAGAGCUGGGGAUGUUUGUUUCUCCCAAGUGUUCCGUGAUGGUAGUGGAACCACAGGGAUUGUGGAUUACACCAACUAUGAUGACAUGAAAUAUGCAAUUAAAAAACUGGAUGACUCUGAGUUCCGUAAUGCAUUUUCCCGGUCUUAUGUUCGUGUGAGGGAAUAUGAUUCAAAGAGAGAUUCAUCCAAGAGUCCUAGUCGUGGGCGGUCAUACUCUAGAGGGCGGAGUUAUAGUCGCAGUCGUAGUAGAGGUCGAAGUAGGAGCAAGAGUCGCAGUAGGAGCAAGUCUCCUAAGGGUAAAUCUUCCCAGCGGUCACCUGUAAAAUCCCGAUCAAGGUCUGCUUCCCCUGCUCGUUCACGAUCAAAGUCAUCAGCUCUUUCAGGGAUUUGUUUUUUGCACCCGUCUAGCAUUGGGCAGAAUGUUAGACUGGGUCAAAUAGACAACAUUAAUGUACUGAAAGUGAACUAAUUCUUUUGUAUUGCUCAAGCACGGGCCAGCAAGUGGUUUUAAGUUUAGCAAUGGAUUUGAUAUUACCUUUCUGGAUGCUAUGUGUUUGCAUGCGGUAUUGUGGCUUGUACAAUUCUCUUGAAUGUGAAACCCACCCUUCCCAAGUCUUGGAUGCAUUCUUGGAAUGGUGGAGAUGAAUACUGGACAGACUUCAAAUUAGUCUGGGCAAUGUGUCGGCCCUCUAUUGGAAUGUUGGGUAAACUUUAUCUAUUUGACUCAAUUUAGUUAUUACUAUUUUACAUCUGAUUCUGCUUUCUUUUUAAUAACUCUUCGUCCUCGUCCUUCCCCUUUAUCAAUUGUGAAUGUUGUUCAACAGCUGGGAUAGUUAAGAAAUGAGUCGAAUUUCUUUCAUUGUUGUCCUCUUUGUGUGUGAAAAUCACUUGUUUGUUUUUUAGAUAUGGAAAUAUGCGGCAUACUGGGGAUUGGAUAUUAGGAUCUUGAUGGAAUAUGAUUCAAUUGUCUUCAAUGCUUUUGGUUGAGAAGAUUUGGAUCCAAGAAGAUCAUGGAUUGCAAUAAUAGAGCUGGAUAUCUUGAACUAAGUGCUAUUUGGACUUGGAAGUCAUCAUCACUUUCAUUUACAUUUUCUGCUGCAAGAUUUGCCAAGCUAUAGGACGCACUAUCUGGAUUCAUAAUGGACCUUUUGAGGCACAGUAGGGAAGAAUGCUCCUCUCCCGUCCACUGACGUCCAUAAUAUAUAGUUUCCUGGAGAAUAAAGUUUUCUAAUUUUUUAGGUCUUCGCAGUUGGAUCUUUAAGUUUUGAAUUGCCAUAUCUUCUUCAUAGUUGAACUACUAAAAUACUAUUUUCCUUUCUCUCCUUAUACAAUGUGGAUGAGUCGUUAGGCUUUUGGCUCAAUUUGGUAAAAGAGACAUGGAUUUUAAAUUUCGGUUGUUUCUGAACCUUUUGCAGAUCGCGAUCAAGAUCCAGGUCUCCGGCACCUAAUCGUGAGAAACGUACUAGUAAAAGUC
Non-coding RNA from Cucurbita pepo subsp. pepo (vegetable marrow), 1982 nucleotides. The record is from RefSeq and is a predicted model, not a curated record. Lineage: Eukaryota; Viridiplantae; Streptophyta; Magnoliopsida; Cucurbitales; Cucurbitaceae.